Molecule: long non-coding RNA, 2012 nt
Organism: Mauremys mutica (yellowpond turtle)
Lineage: Eukaryota; Metazoa; Chordata; Testudines; Geoemydidae
Exons: 3
Source: RefSeq, a predicted model, not a curated record
CUUUUCAUACUUCCUAUUUUUCAAAGAAAAACCUUAAUUUUAUGAAGAGAUUUGACAUUUCGAACUCAAUUUUCCACUUAAUGGUGAAAACUUUUGUUGUUCCUCAAAUGCUUAUGGCAUAAGCUUCUUUUGAGGUGUAUAUUUGCAAAUAUUUUAUAUCUAAAUGUAAGCCUACAGAGAUUAACUUCCUGACGCUAUUGCUGUAUGAACAAUAUAAUGUUUUAUGCCCAAAUAUAGCAAGUUUAUUUGAGGCUUUAACUGGUUACUAAUAAAAGAAGCCCUUUGAGUAUAAAAUAUUGAUAUUAAUUGGAAAAUUAACCAUUAUCUAGCAAUCCUUAAGCAACUCCUUACCAAACUCAGAAAGACAAGAGUCACCUCUCCAAAUAUUGGUACAAAGAAAGGACAAUAACUUUUUAAAUUACUAUUUAAGAUUUUAAAACUCUCUUUAAGAAUUAUGUAAGUUUAAAAAGACUUUUUGAGAGCUUAAAGACCUUUAUAUAGGCAAUAGGAAUGUUUCGAUUCAUUUGAAACAAAAUUUCAACUCCUAUUAAACCCAAAUAGAACUGAAGGGUUCCCGGAAAAUGGACUGCAUAAAAAAAAGUAAUAUUCCAACUUUAAGCAUGUUCUGAGAGUGUCCCAUCACAAAGACAGAAGCAAUUACAACACUGCUGCAUAUGCAUUAGCAGACUGCAUAUUCAUUAGCUGAAGAUACUACCAGUGCAAUUCCAUGAAGGUUUUUAUCCAAUGGAAGGGCAACAGCAGUAGAUAUUUGAAUCUACCCAAAUCUCUGAAAGAGGUGUGCCUUCCUCCUUCAGUGAAAUAAUGGGAGGAGGAAAGUAUAAAUAGACAGGGGGAUGUACACCACAGUUAUUUUUGAUAAAAUAUUUAAAACUAUUAAGUAUGUGAAGCAGCAAACGGCUUCUAACAAUGCUUUGGCCAAGUCCAUUUACAUUUUUCUAUUUGUUUGUCCCAUCUGCUUGUAAUCCAUUUUGUCAGUAUUUCACAUAAAUGUAUGGUGGUUUAAGGGCCCUGGAUUCUAAAGAGUGCCUCAAAACUAUUUUAGGGCAACAUAAAGCUUUAUGUUUAGCUGCUUUCUUAAAAGACUGACAGAUAUAGGUCCUUGAUUUUAACAGCAAUUGGAAAUGCAGGCUCGGUCUAACAAAUAGCUUGAAAAUUUGCAAUCUGGUAAGGUCAAGAAUAACUUUGACAUCAUUCAAGCUGCUCGUUUCCCCAGAGGAAAAAAAAUGAAGGAUGUUGGUUUAGAGACAAGAAAACAGUGACGAUGAUGAUCAGUUGACAGACUUGACACUAUUUGGUGUCAGAACAUUUAAAUACUAUUGAUUAGGAUCAAUAUAAGGGUAGCUAGGUGACAUGUAAAUGGCCUGUAAUAUAUAGGAGGUAAGAUUGGCCUUAAACUCUAUGAAUAAAUCUCUGUGAAUUAAGCAGGCAAGUAGCAGCACUCUCAUCUCAGUUUAUCCUGUUCAUCUCAUCUCUACAUGUAAGCAAAGAACAGCAACAAAGCUGCUAAAAGGAACAAAGAAACCACAGCACAGCAUCUGGAAACAGCAACCUUCUGAUUCAGCACUGUUUCUGUAACAUGAUGACAUCACUAAGACUUCAGCAUCAUUGGAAUACCAGCUGAGCAUAUGGUGCCUGGUAGAUAUUAGGGGAUGGAUGGACCACUCUGAAGGGUGACAUACUCUCACAUAUUUCAUCAUUUUAAAACCCCUGGAGCCAAAUAAGUUUGGAUGAUGAGAAUGAAAACAUCACUCAUUUUGGACGAAUGGACUGGAUUUCCCAGGCAGCCAUUCCAGGCCAAAAGAAAGGCCAAAAGAAAAUAAACGUAUGAUCUCUCUGUCUUUAAAAAUAUUUUAUGUUUUCAGCAUCUACAAUGAAGCUAAAUGGUUGCAAUACUUCCUAACUGUGAUUAGUUUUAUAAACUAUUUCCCCUCCCAUAGGAUUGGUUGUCUGAAACCAGCUACCACAAUAAGUUCUGUGUAAAAUAAACUGUA